UUCCAGACUCCUACGGGAGGCAGCAGUGGGGAAUAUUGCACAAUGGGGGAAACCCUGAUGCAGCGACGCCGCGUGAGUGAAGAAGUAUUUCGGUAUGUAAAGCUCUCUCAGCAGGGAAGAAAAUGACGGUACCUGACUAAGAAGCCCCGGCUAACUACGUGCCAGCAGCCGCGGUAAUACGUAGGGGGCAAGCGUUAUCCGGAUUUACUGGGUGUAAAGGGAGCGUAGACGGCAUGGCAAGUCAGAUGUGAAAGCCCGGGGCUCAACCCCGGGACUGCAUUUGAAACUGUCAGGCUGGAGUGCAGGAGAGGUAAGUGGAAUUCCUAGUGUAGCGGUGAAAUGCGUAGAUAUUAGGAGGAACACCGGUGGCGAAGGCGGCCUGCUGGACUGCAACUGACGUUGAGGCCCGAAAGCGUGGGGAGCAAACAGGAUUAGAUACCCGUGUACC
Molecule: ribosomal RNA, 448 nt
Filed under: uncultured bacterium
Lineage: Bacteria
Description: bacterial SSU rRNA
Rfam family: Bacterial small subunit ribosomal RNA
Source: RNAcentral